AACGUAGGAGACAAACGUUAUCCGGGGUUACUGGGCGUAAAGGGCGUGUAGGUGGUAGUGUAAGUCUGGCGUGAAAUUUUUCGGCUUAACCGGGAAAGGUCGUCGGAUACUGCACAACUAGAGGACGGUAGAGGCGUGUGGAAUUCCGGGUGUAGUGGUGAAAUGCGUAGAGAUCCGGAGGAACACCAGUGGCGAAGGCGACACGCUGGGCCGUACCUGACAUUGAUGCGCGACAGCAUGGGGAGCAAACAGG
This 253-nucleotide ribosomal RNA is filed under the name uncultured bacterium. RNAcentral's name for it is "partial 16S ribosomal RNA". It matches the Rfam family "Bacterial small subunit ribosomal RNA", at positions 524 to 776 of the family's 1533-position model. The record is from RNAcentral.